This 450-nucleotide ribosomal RNA is filed under the name uncultured bacterium. Its description in RNAcentral is "bacterial SSU rRNA". It matches the Rfam family "Bacterial small subunit ribosomal RNA", at positions 29 to 524 of the family's 1533-position model. The record is from RNAcentral.
AACGAACGCUGGCGGCAGGCUUAACACAUGCAAGUCGAGCGCCCCGCAAGGGGAGCGGCAGACGGGUGAGUAACGCGUGGGAAACUACCCUUUGGUACGGAACAACUCCGGGAAACUGGAGCUAAUACCGUAUGUGCCCUUCGGGGGAAAGAUUUAUCGCCAUAGGAUGUGCCCGCGUAGGAUUAGCUAGUUGGCGGGGUAAUGGCCCACCAAGGCGACGAUCCUUAGCUGGUCUGAGAGGAUGAUCAGCCACACUGGGACUGAGACACGGCCCAGACUCCUACGGGAGGCAGCAGUGGGGAAUAUUGGACAAUGGGCGCAAGCCUGAUCCAGCCAUGCCGCGUGAGUGAUGAAGGCCUUAGGGGUUGUAAAAGCUCUUUCGCACGCGACGAUAAUGACGGUAGCGUGAGAAGAAGCCCCGGCUAACUUCGUGCCAGCAGCCGCGGUAAU